AGAACGAACGCUGGCGGCAGGCUUAACACAUGCAAGUCGAACGCUCGUAGCAAUACGGGAGUGGCAGACGGGUGAGUAACGCGUGGGAACAUACCCUCCGGUUCGGAAUAGCUCAGGGAAACUUGGAUUAAUACCGGAUACGGCUGAGAGGCGAAAGAUUUAUCGCCGGAGGAUUGGCCCGCGUUCGAUUAGCUUGUUGGUGAGGUAACGGCUCACCAAGGCUAUGAUCGAUAGCUGGUCUGAGAGGAUGAUCAGCCACAUUGGGACUGAGACACGGCCCAAACUCCUACGGGAGGCAGCAGUGGGAAUAUUGGACAAUGGGCGCAAGCCUGAUCCAGCCAUGCCGCGUGAGUGAUGACGGCCUUAGGGUUGUAAAGCUCUUUCGCUCGGGACGAUAAUGACGGUACCGAGAUAAGAAGCCCCGGCUAACUUCGUGCCAGCAGCCGC
Molecule: ribosomal RNA, 447 nt
Filed under: uncultured bacterium
Lineage: Bacteria
Description: SSU rRNA
Rfam family: Bacterial small subunit ribosomal RNA
Source: RNAcentral